AACGAACGCUGGCGGCGGGCCUAAUACAUGCAAGUCGAACGAGAAAGCUCUUCGGAGUGAGUAGAGUGGCGCACGGGUGAGUAACACGUAGGUGACCUAGCUUUUAGUGGGGAACAACAGGGAGAAAUUCCUGCUAAUACCGCAUAAGUUGAUUAAUUUUGGAAAUCAAUCAAGAAAGGGGGCUUCGGCCCUCGCUGAAAGAUGGGCCUGCGGGACAUUGGCUUGAUGGUGGGGUAACGGCCUACCAUGGCGACGAUGUCUAGCUGGUCUGAGAGGAUGAUCAGCCACACUGGAACUGAGACACGGUCCAG
This 311-nucleotide ribosomal RNA is filed under the name uncultured bacterium. RNAcentral describes it as "bacterial SSU rRNA". It matches the Rfam family "Bacterial small subunit ribosomal RNA", at positions 29 to 334 of the family's 1533-position model. The record is from RNAcentral.